UUUGAGGCCCUCAAUGAUGCAAUUGCCUGUUCUACUUUGUACUGGUCAACUUGUAAAUCUGCUGUGUCUGUUUCUCUGUCUCCCACACAGAAAGAACUGUUUCAAGUUCCCGGCUCCUAUCCCCAUGUCUCACUGUCUAAAGGACGCCUUGACCAAUGGAGGGAUUUGGGACCAUUUGUGGCUGAGUGUGAAUCUCUCACUGACUGGGAGGAGACAAUCGAUCCGCUCGUUCUGCGCUCCGCCUCUACAGGGUUUCACAGAACUCACUGUGUACACUGUUGCGUAUUUCUCAGCUAAACUCGACCCUGUCGCUGCAGGACUGCCACAAUGUUUGCGCGCUGUGGCCGCGGCUGAAAAGGCGCUCAUUGCCUCACGUGACAUAGUGGGUUACGCACCGUUCACUCUGCUCGUUCCGCACGCGGUUUCUUUGAUUCUCCUCGAACAGAAAUCAUCUCACCUCUCUGCGGCUCGCUAUUUGCGUUACCACACGUGUCUCCUGGACAUGCCGAAUGUCACUAUAAACGUUGUACUAACCUUAACCCUGCAUCAUUACUUGCUAUUCCUGGGGAUGGGGAGGACCACAACUGUUUGGCUGAGCUCCAAGCUCAGUGCACUCCUCGCCCUGACCUAGUGGACGCUCCACUAACUAACAGCGACAUGGUAAUGUCCUCUGCCAUGUCACCUCUCAGCCCAGGCAGCCGAGCUCAUCGCUCUGACCGAGGCCUGUAAACUGGCUAAGGGUAAAACAGUCACAGUUCACACUGACUCUCGCUUUGCGUUUGGUGUAGUACAUGAUUUUGUGGUGCUGUGGAAACACAGGAACUUCCUUAAAUCGGACGGUAAGCUCAUCCUACAUCACACUCUCAUUGCUGAACUGUUGGAAUCCAUCUUGCUACCCACAGCUAUUGCUGUCUGUAAAUGUGCAACACACACGUCCAAUACGGAUGAUGUAUAUAUGAUGCUCGAGCAGACUCUGCUGCAAAAGCUGCUGCUCUGCUUCCCACUACCUGUGCUCUAGUGUGCUCUGAGGAGUCAGUUCCCUCCUCUCUCACAGCGAUGCAGUCACUCUCUACCCCUGAUGAAAGACGGCUUUGGUCCACAUCUGGCUGUGUUUACACCAACGGUAUCUGGACUGGACCCGACGGCAAGCCGUGUUUACCUAAACACUAUUUUGCUCAUUAUGCUAAGUUGACUCAUGGGUUAGACCAUGUGUCAAAAGGGGGAAUGUUAUGUGCACUUAAUAAGACGUGGUUUACAAAAGGGUUGACAGCAUAUGCACAAAAAUUCUGUUCUGCAUGUGUCACCUGUUCUACUCACAAUGUAGGCAGGCCCGUGGGCGUGUCCAGCCAGGCUGCACACCCACCACCAACCCGCCCGUUUGAGCACAUUAUGAUGGAUUUUGUGGAGUUGUCUCCAUCACAAGGUAAGAAACACUGUCAAGUGAUGGUGGACAUGUUUUCCAAGUGGGUGGAGGUUUUUCCA
Molecule: non-coding RNA, 1482 nt
Organism: Gasterosteus aculeatus aculeatus (three-spined stickleback)
Lineage: Eukaryota; Metazoa; Chordata; Actinopteri; Perciformes; Gasterosteidae
Source: RefSeq, a predicted model, not a curated record